CCUGGCCAAAAAGAGACAAGAGAUGCUGCGCUCAGUCACCAGGUGGCACAGCAGGGGACACCCCCUCCCCACCCUCACCUGCCAAGGACACAGCUCUGCACACGCGGGCUCCCGAUGCGGAGCCCAGACACCGGUGUCCGCGCAGACACCUCUCACACGGGGCUCGGAGGGGCAGGAAGCUGGAGCGGAGCGAGCCCUUCCGAAGAGCCAGGAGCAGAACCCCCAGGUCAGUCCUGCCCCCCGCCCCCCGGAGCCGCUAGCCAGAUGAGGCUACCUCAAUUCAAGUGUGCGCUGAUUAAAGUGAAAUUAAUAAAUAAAAAGUGGCUCCAGCCACAGUUCUCGUGCUGAGCGGCCACAUCUGGCCCGGGGGCUCGUGGCUACCACGUCAGUCAGCACAGCUGGAGCGCACAUCCUUCACCAGGAAGGUGCCGUGGAACGGCGCGGUCCAGAGGAGCGGCGAGAAGGACUUCGCGCCCUGGAAGGGGAGGAGGAGGUAAGGGUGGGAGGGCCCCACCUCGGGCACGACCCAGCCCUUACCCAAGGACAGCCCGUUCCUCUUCUGCAGGACGUCCCUGUAGAAGUUCUGCUGCGCGUGGUCCAGCCGCCCCCACUCCUCCCGGGAGAGGUACAGGGCCACGUCCUCGAAGGUCACCGGCAUCUGCAACAACACAAAACGCCCACUCUCCAGGACACGCCAGGACCCCCCGGAGGGGCACCGUGGCUCCAAGAGGAAGGCGACCCGGCUCCCGACCGGCUGCCCCGAGUGAGCCCCGCCCUCGCGUCUGCUGGUGAAGCAGGACAGCCGCCGCCCGAGGGUGGCUUCGCGGGGGCAAGAACGAGGAGGCUGUGUACAACCCGGGAGACAGAAACAAGCGUCCCUUUCGGGCGCCGCAGCCGAAGCUCGGGGUCUCCACGCACGCUCCCCUGCAGCCCCCACCCCCCGGGCUGGCGCUCGCAUCCAGGGGACGAUGUGGUUCCUCCACAUCCCUCUGCUGUUCCUCCAGCCCUGGACUUGGACGGGGACACUCACCUGGGACCAGGCGGUGAGGAGCGCCGCAGCCAUCUGCCGGUCUCUGGUCCUCCCCUCACGAGAGAGCACAGGGAUCUGGGGGGAGGGGAGGGCUGAGAGAGGACAGAGGUGCUCAGGGCGGCUGCCUCGCCCCGCCUACCAGGGACACCCCCCCGCUGCCUCAAACUGCACCCCGACCUGACCCAGGAAGAGGGUCAGUAGCCUCUGUGCAGUCAGAGGCUCCGAGGCUGUGCGGGAGAGGCGUGUCGGGGGCAGGUGCGCACACGCGCAGGCCUCUCCGUGGCAGGAGAGCUCGUGCCCUCCCCGCCUCUGCACCAGACUCCACCUCUCCCCACAGCUGCCACCGAGAAGGGGCCCCUCUCCGCGCCCCUCUCCAUCCCUUUCCUCACCUCCUCCGGGCAGGAAAAGAGCUUUGUCCUUAGAGCCCUGGCUUAGGGACACCCAGCCCUGCUCUCCUCGGGCCCCGGCCCCCUGCGAUGCCCCCUCAGGCUGUGGCUCUUCCGGCUCCGUCUUGAUGUGGGGAGACUCCUGAGCAGCUCCCAAAGGCACCGUCUCCUCUGACUCAGAGAGCAUUUCUUGACGAGGAUGCCCAUGACCUGGAACCUAGGAAUGACAGCCCCCGUCAGCACCUGGGCAGAGAAUGGGAGACGCAGCCGAGCCCCACACCCGAGGGGCCUGGCAGCGGCCGACACCCAGGUGGCCAAACACACCCGAAUGCAACUAACUCACUGCUGGCCUUGCUUCCUUCUCCCGGCCCUGGGGCCCCGCACGUGCCUGGUUCGCCCCCACAAGGCCGGGACAGCACGGGAAGGAAGGGAGGCUCGAGGCCGGGCCAGGGGCGGGCUGGCCAGGUGCCCACAGAGCAGGUGUCUCCUCCCCGUUCCAGCCUCGUACCUCCCACAGCAGUGUGGACGGUUCCUCUUUCAUGUUAGAGGACACCAAGUGCGGUGGGCUGAAUGGUGUCCCCCAAAUUUCCCGUCUGCUUGGAACCUCACAAUGUGACCUUAUUUGGAAAAAAAAGGUCUCUGCUGAUGUAAUCAGUAAAGGAUCUUGAGAUGAAAUCAUUCUGCAUUUAGACUGGGCCCUAGAUCCAACGACCAGUGUCCUUAGAAUGAAUUCUAGUUGUUUUAUGCCACCCAGUUUGUUACACAGACAUAGGAAACGAACACACCCAGGCUCAGAGAUCGACCAUGACCCAAGAUUACAGAGCCUGUGAAUUCUCAGCCAGCACUUGAACUCCAGGUGUAUCUGAUUCACAAGUCAGCCCCAGGGCCACCAUUUCCUGAAUAUGACAGGGAGGUAUCAUGUAGCCCUGGGCCAUUUCCAGCCUGACUCAAUUCGGUCACGGAAGUUGGAGGUUUUUUAGUUUGGAGAAACAAGUCCAAGGGUACCUCUAACUGUGCCGAGGCCUGUGCCCACCUUCAUCUGACAGAAGGAGACCUCCUCCCGGCUCACCCCUGCAGCACCACCCACCGCAACUCGUCCAGGGUUCUCCAGGGUCCUCCUAACUCGUCCCUUCUUCACAUCAACCUCGGGUGGGAAGGUCAGGCAACCGGGGCUUGAUCCAGACCAGCCCCUCGCUCGCCGCUCAACCCUGAGUGGGCACCGCCUUCCCACAAACCUCAAGAGCUUUGGGAAAGUCACUUCCUUUGCAUUGGGAGGCUUCUCGUGAGGCCUCAUCAUCACCCACAGCACAGGGACUGGCCAGGCUUCUGCUGAGAACUCAGACUUCUCUCUCCACACCGCCCCCACGUCUGUGUAUGUCAGAGCCCCAAAGGGAAGACCCUCAGGCCAGGAGUUGGAGGGCCUGGGAGCCACACGAGCCGGGCAGCCUCCAAAACUCAGCUACUCUGCCUCACGCACAGAUCCCCUGUGAGAAAGAGCUGCCUGCUCUGGAACAUUCUGGAUAAACACAGAGCGGUGCCAGAAAUAAUUACUAUAACUGUACUGUGCGAGUUGACAGAAUCCAGCAGGAGAGAAUGUCAGGGGCGUGCGAAGCCCACUGGGUGUUACAAAGGCAUCGUGGAAGCGAAAGCACGCAGUGUUGACACGUCUUUGUACCUUCUACUGUACGAAAGUGCGAGACGUAACGCCGAUGGUCCCUGACUCUCAAUGGCUCAACUUAACAAGCUUUCGACUUUAUGGUGGUACAGAAGCGGCACACGUUGGGUAGAAACCACACUUCGAAGUCUGAAUUUGCCCUUCCCUGGGCUAGCGAUGUGUACCACGGUCCUCGCUCAGGACGCCAGGCGGCAGGAGACAUGGCUUCCGGUCAGCCGCGUGGUCACGAGCGUAAAUGGCCACAAACUGGUGGCCAUUCUGUCUUCCUCCUUCAGCACGGUGUUCAGUACAUCACGUGAGAUACUCAGCACUAAAUUACGAGGUCGGCUUUAUGUUAGGUGGUUUUACCCAACGUAGGCUGCUCUGAGUGUUCUGAGCACGUUUAAGGCAGGUGAGAUUAGGCUCUGAUGCUCAGUAGAGCAUGUACUAAAUGCAUUUUCCACUUAAUAUUUUCAGCUUACAGCGGGUUUAUCAGGAUGUAAACCCAUGGUGAGCUGAGGGAGAUCUGCUCUUGAUUUGUGCUUGUCCUUACACCUGCUCGUUGAGGCGAUCUGUUUCUCUGAUCUAGGUUCUGGUUGCUGUGGGUGUUGUUAUUGCAUAUGUGACAAUAGCGAUCUGGAUGAGACAGGUGGCAGCAGCAGGCAGGCACAGGGUAUACAUUUUAUAGACGACACACCUGGUUCCCAGAAGCCAGGGGACUUGCCCAAGGUCACACACCUGGCUGCAGCUGACUCAUAUUCCUUUGAUUCCAAGCUCAGGGGCCCAGGUCCUCCCGGAGGGUGUAAUUACACACAUGGGCAACAGGUACAGGAAGGAGACAAGGAGCUCAGACCCAGGGAGAGAGGAGAUGGGGUGCUAGGCAGGAGGGAGCAGAGGGUAAACCGAGGCUCCCCCACGUGCGCUGGGCACAACCUCACCAGUAGGACCCCCACGCAGGAUCCCCGCUAUUUCAUGUAGCCUUUGGCCGACAGACUCCUGAACUCAGCAGGCAGAGCCGAGCAGCUCUCUGGCUGUCAAUUCCCAGUGCAAGAACUUUCCGGUCAUAGCACCAACUCCUCCCAUCACCCCCAUCCGCCCCAGUGAGUCUAAGUCUUCCACUGGCGUAGACACCCUACCUUGAAAACCCCCUCCCGCUCCAAUCCCUUCCAGGGCAUGCAUCCCUCGCCCAGCGCCCCGUCCAUACCUCUCGGGCUCUCUCCUUGUCCUGGGUAGCCUGGGCGGCUCUGCUGUCUGCGGACAUUUCUAUCUCAGAGGUAGAAAGCACAACUCCGUCGUUUCUCCUUCUUAUUGGCCAAGCCCCCUCCAGCUUCUGGCCAGGAGCCUACCAGAGCAGAAAUGUAAGUCAGCCAUCGUCUCCUGGACACCUCCAAAGCACCCUGGAAAUCCCCACGCAAGCCCAGAGCCACGCUUGGUCCCAAUCAGAAAUAAAGCCUCCCCAGAUGCCCUCCGGUGACGUCA
Molecule: long non-coding RNA, 4549 nt
Organism: Neofelis nebulosa (Clouded leopard)
Lineage: Eukaryota; Metazoa; Chordata; Mammalia; Carnivora; Felidae
Exons: 2
Source: RefSeq, a predicted model, not a curated record